RNAcentral lists this transfer RNA (79 nucleotides) under Acidobacterium capsulatum ATCC 51196. Its description in RNAcentral is "tRNA-Arg". It matches the Rfam family "tRNA". Rfam says of the family: Transfer RNA (tRNA) molecules are approximately 80 nucleotides in length. Their secondary structure includes four short double-helical elements and three loops (D, anti-codon, and T loops). Further hydrogen bonds mediate the characteristic L-shaped molecular structure. tRNAs have two regions of fundamental functional importance: the anti-codon, which is responsible for specific mRNA codon recognition, and the 3' end, to which the tRNAs corresponding amino acid is attached (by aminoacyl-tRNA synthetases). tRNAs cope with the degeneracy of the genetic code in two manners: having more than one tRNA (with a specific anti-codon) for a particular amino acid; and 'wobble' base-pairing, i.e. permitting non-standard base-pairing at the 3rd anti-codon position. Lineage: Bacteria; Pseudomonadati; Acidobacteriota; Terriglobia; Terriglobales; Acidobacteriaceae. The record is from RNAcentral.
UGGCCCUGUAGCUCAGGUGGAUAGAGCAACGGUUUCCUAAACCGCAGGUCGGAAGUUCGAAUCUUCCCAGGGUCACCAG